Molecule: unclassified non-coding RNA, 248 nt
Filed under: uncultured Chaetomium
Lineage: Eukaryota; Fungi; Ascomycota; Sordariomycetes; Sordariales; Chaetomiaceae
Description: sequence contains ITS2
Rfam family: 5.8S ribosomal RNA (bases 1-52)
Source: RNAcentral
AACGCACAUUGCGCCCGCCAGUAUUCUGGCGGGCAUGCCUGUUCGAGCGUCAUUUCAACCAUCAAGCCCCCCGGCUUGUGUUGGGGACCUGCGGCUGCCGCAGGCCCUGAAAAGCAGUGGCGGGCUCGCUGUCACACCGAGCGUAGUAGCAUACAUCUCGCUCUGGGCGUGCUGCGGGUUCCGGCCGUUAAACCACCUUUUAACCCAAGGUUGACCUCGGAUCAGGUAGGAAGACCCGCUGAACUUAA